CCUACGGGGAGGCAGCAGUGGGGAAUAUUGGACAAUGGGCGAAAGCCUGAUCCAGCCAUGCCGCGUGUGUGAAGAAGGCCUUCGGGUUGUAAAGCACUUUCAGUGGGGAAGAAAGCCUUGGGGCUAAUACCCUCGAGGAAGGACAUCACCCACAGAAGAAGCACCGGCUAACUCCGUGCCAGCAGCCGCGGUAAUACGGAGGGUGCGAGCGUUAAUCGGAAUUACUGGGCGUAAAGCGCGCGUAGGCGGUCUGAUAAGCCGGUUGUGAAAGCCCCGGGCUCAACCUGGGAACGGCAUCCGGAACUGUCAGGCUAGAGUGCAGGAGAGGAAGGUAGAAUUCCCGGUGUAGCGGUGAAAUGCGUAGAGAUCGGGAGGAAUACCAGUGGCGAAGGCGGCCUUCUGGACUGACACUGACGCUGAGGUGCGAAAGCGUGGGUAGCAAACAGGAUUAGAUACCCUGGUAGUC
This 466-nucleotide ribosomal RNA is filed under the name Vreelandella stevensii. RNAcentral's name for it is "partial 16S ribosomal RNA". It matches the Rfam family "Bacterial small subunit ribosomal RNA", at positions 338 to 795 of the family's 1533-position model. Lineage: Bacteria; Pseudomonadati; Pseudomonadota; Gammaproteobacteria; Oceanospirillales; Halomonadaceae. The record is from RNAcentral.